Long non-coding RNA from Rhineura floridana, 1111 nucleotides. RefSeq lists it as uncharacterized. Lineage: Eukaryota; Metazoa; Chordata; Lepidosauria; Squamata; Rhineuridae. The transcript is spliced from 4 exons. The record is from RefSeq and is a predicted model, not a curated record.
GGUGUGAGUCCUCAGCGUUUUGGCCUUAAGUGGACAGGCCUGCCCCUCUUCUGCCUGACCUUCUGCUGUCUACGUUCUGCAGGUGAGUGGAGAGUAUCCUGUUCACUGGCUGCGUCUGGCUGAAGGGCUUCAGCUGUGUCUGGGGUGCUCUGCAGCUGAGGGGGAGAAGGAGCUGGGUUCUCAGGAGUUUCCUCUGUUUCUCCUUCUGGGUCCGCUGCUGUAACUCCCGAGUCAUCCUCAUCUGAUGAGUCCUCUGACGGGGCCAUGACAAGAAGAAGGAGGUGGCGUCCUGGAUCGGGUCAUCUGAGCCAUGUCAGCGGGGAACGCGGAGCAGCGAGAACAUGGGGCCUCGGGAGGGCGUCGCAGCAAAUGGGACCAGCCUGGACCAUCUCCGGCUCUCUUCCUUCUUCCUGCAACCACUCCUGCGGCGGGCCACCCCGUCCAGGGCAGCGGAGACAGUGUAUCUGGGAUGUCAGGGUCUGAGGGCUCAGCAGCCCCUCUGGGAGCUCUGGAUGCAGCUGCUGCAGUAGCAGCCAAAAUCAAUGCCAUGUUAAUGGCCAAAGGGAAGCUGUAACCAGCAGACAAGAUCAAAGAACGUAAUUAGCCCAUUCUAUCAAUUUUGGGAAGAGGCGUGUGCUGAGGACCUCAUCGAGGCUACAGGCGCCACUAAUGAGUGCAAAGGUGAAGAGGAAGAUGACUUUUUCAAAGGCAAAACUCCUCAAAAUGAAGGCAUGAUUGGAUUGAUGCCAGGCUCCUUCAACUCUACUCUUCAGAGUUCAGAACAUUGCCUAGGGUCGCCGCCAAUAAUCUCUCUGUAGAUGCCACUCUGACGUUCCAAGAUCACGCAGAUGAAGUCUUUGGGCAAUCAUUUUGAUAGAGAGCGCUCCCUUUUUUUUUAGCAGUUCCUAAACUGUUGAUUUCAUGAACAAUGUUGGUGGCAAAAUUGAAACAAGUGUUAGAAAAUGAUCUUCAACUUGGUUGUGUCUGAAAAGGGGGUGCUUGUAUCAUUUUUUACCAUAUGUAAAAUAAGGUCUAUGGAGAAGUGUCUUUUAGCGUUAUUUCUCAUUUCGGUGUUUCGAUUUGGAAUGGCUCACCUAAUAUAUUAAAUAUA